This 496-nucleotide ribosomal RNA is filed under the name uncultured bacterium. Its description in RNAcentral is "partial 16S ribosomal RNA". It matches the Rfam family "Bacterial small subunit ribosomal RNA", at positions 28 to 506 of the family's 1533-position model. The record is from RNAcentral.
GAUGAACGCUGGCGGCGUGCCUAAUACAUGCAAGUCGAGCGAACAGAUAAGGAGCUUGCUCCUUUGACGUUAGCGGCGGACGGGUGAGUAACACGUGGGUAACCUACCUAUAAGACUGGGAUAACUUCGGGAAACCGGAGCUAAUACCGGAUAAUAUUUCGAACCGCAUGGUUCGAUAGUGAAAGAUGGUUUUGCUAUCACUUAUAGAUGGACCCGCGCCGUAUUAGCUAGUUGGUAAGGUUACGGCUUACCAAGGCGACGAUACGUAGCCGACCUGAGAGGGUGAUCGGCCACACUGGAACUGAGACACGGUCCAGACUCCUACGGGAGGCAGCAGUAGGGAAUCUUCCGCAAUGGGCGAAAGCCUGACGGAGCAACGCCGCGUGAGUGAUGAAGGUCUUCGGAUCGUAAAACUCUGUUAUUAGGGAAGAACAUACGUGUAAGUAACUGUGCACGUCUGGACGGUACCUAAGCAGAAAGCCACGGCUAACUACGU